RNAcentral lists this ribosomal RNA (485 nucleotides) under uncultured bacterium. Its description in RNAcentral is "bacterial SSU rRNA". It matches the Rfam family "Bacterial small subunit ribosomal RNA", at positions 30 to 507 of the family's 1533-position model. The record is from RNAcentral.
AUUGAACGCUGGCGGCAUGCCUUACACAUGCAAGUCGAACGGCAGCACGGGUGCUUGCACCUGGUGGCGAGUGGCGAACGGGUGAGUAAUACAUCGGAACGUACCUUAUCGUGGGGGAUAACGUAGCGAAAGUUACGCUAAUACCGCAUACGAUCUACGGAUGAAAGCGGGGGACCUUCGGGCCUCGCGCGAUUGGAGCGGCCGAUGUCAGAUUAGGUAGUUGGUGGGGUAAAGGCCUACCAAGCCGACGAUCUGUAGCUGGUCUGAGAGGACGACCAGCCACACUGGGACUGAGACACGGCCCAGACUCCUACGGGAGGCAGCAGUGGGGGAAUUUUGGACAAUGGGCGCAAGCCUGAUCCAGCAAUGCCGCGUGCAGGAAGAAGGCCUUCGGGUUGUAAACUGCUUUGUACGGAACGAAAAGGCUCUGGUUAAUACCUGGGCUCAUGACGGUACCGUAAGAAUAAGCACCGGCUAACUACGUG